This 387-nucleotide unclassified non-coding RNA is filed under the name uncultured fungus. RNAcentral describes it as "partial contains 5.8S ribosomal RNA, internal transcribed spacer 2, and large subunit ribosomal RNA". The record is from RNAcentral. Lineage: Eukaryota; Fungi.
AACGCAAAUGGCGCUUCCUGGACACCCGGGGAGCAUGCCUGUUUGAGAACCGUAAGGAAACAUCGUCCUGGACUGGUUCCGGACGGAGUUGGAUGCACCGGUCGAAAGGCUCGUGGUCCGCAAGGCUUCUUCCAUACAUUGAUUCCACGAAUGAUCUCCCUAAACUUUGAGCUUUUUCGAAUGUUUAGGGAGGCUUUCGGGGUGGUGGGGUCCUGGGAUUAGGUCCGCUAGAAAGGUACCUUCCCGAAGGCUUUAGGAUAAUUGGUGCGGCUAACACUGCACUGUAUUACGAUAGCCGACUAUUAGGGAACGGUAGGAUCCUUUUGGGGAUCGUCUCAUCCCACCGAUCAUGGUCUCAAAUCAGGCAAGAGAACCCGCUGAACUUAA